CUCGGAGCCGCCGCCAACCGGAGCCUCUGCGGGCCGAAAGCCAUUGAGAAACCCCCGGAGGGCCCAAAGCCCCAUUGAGAAAACUCUCAUAGACCCAAAAACCCAUUGAGAAAACUCCCGUAGGGCCCAAAACCCAUCGAGAAAACUGCAAUGGACCCAAAACCCGUUGAAAAAAAAAAAACCUUCUACAGACACAAAAGCCGCUGAGAAAACUCCCGCGGGGCCCAAACCCCAUCGGGAAAAUUCCUCUGGACCCAAAACCCAUUGGGAAAACUCUCAUGGAUCCAAAACCCAUUGAAAAAAAGUCCUAUAGACCCAAAACCCAUUGAGAACCGCCCCCCCCCCAGGGCCCACACCCCAUUGAGAAAACUCCAAUGGACACAAAAUCCGUGGAGAAAACCCCCAUCGACCCCAAACCCCAUUGAGAAAACUCCCACAGACCCAAAACUCAUUGAAAAAGAAAACUUCUACAGAGCCAAAAUCCACUGAGAAAAAUCCUACAGACCCCAAAACCCAUUGGGAAAACUCCUACGGACACAAAACCUAUCAAGAAAAUACCCAUACACCCAAAACUCAUUGAGAAAAACUUCUAUAGACCCAAAUCCUAUUGGGAAAAAAUCCUACUGACCCAAAACCCACUGAGAAAACUCCCACAGGGCCCAGACCCCAUUGGGAAAACUCCUACGGACACAAAACCCGUUAAGAACCCCCCACCCCCACAGGGCCCAAAACCCAAUGAGAAAACCUCCAUACACCCAAACCCCAUUGAGAAAACUCCCACGGGGCCCAGACCCCAUUAGGACAUCUUUGAUGGAUACAAAACCCAUUGAGAAAAAUCCCGUACACCCAAACCCCACUGAGAAAACCCCCAUCGACCCCAAACCCCAUUGAGAAAACUCCCACAGACCCAAAACUCAAUGAAAAAGAAAACUUCUACAGAGCCAAAAUCCACUGAGAAAAAUCCUACAGACCCCAAACCCACUGAGCAAAUUCCCACAGGGCCCAAACCCCAUUGGGAGAACUCCUAUGGACCCGAAACCCAUUGAGAAAACUCCCAUAGACCCAAAUCCUAUUGGGAAAAAUCCUACUGACCCAAAACCCACUGAGAAAACUCCCACAGACCCAAAACCUAUUGGGAAAAUCCUACUGACCCAAAACCCAUUGAGAAAAUUCCCACAGGGCCCAAAACCCAUUGAGAAAUCUCCCAUACACCCAAACCCCAUUGAGAAAAGUCCCACGGGGCCCAAAUCCCAUUGGGAAAACUCCGAUGGACACAAAACCCAUUGAGAAAACCCUCCUGGACCCGAAACCCAUUGAGAAAACUUCUACAGACCCAAAACCCACUGAGAAAAAUCCUACAGGGAUUAGGGUUAGGGUUAGGGUUAGAGUUAUGGGGUCAGGGUUAGGGUUAGAGUUAUGGGGUCAGGGUUAGGGUUAGCGUUAUGGGAUCAGGGUUAGGGUUAGCGUUAUGGGGUCAGGGUUAGGGUUACUGUUAUGGGGUCAGGGUUAGGGUUAGAGUUAUGGGGUCAGGGUUAGGGUUAGAGUUAUGGGGUCAGGAUUAGGGUUAGCAUUAUGGGGUCAGGGUUAGGGUUGGGGUUAGGGUUAGAGUGUUAGGGUCAGGUUUCAGUUUAGGACUGGUGUUGGGUAUGGGGUUGGGGUCGAGGUUGAUUUAUAGGGUCAGAGUUAUGGGGUUAGAGUUAUAGGGACAGGGAUACGGUUUGGGUUAGAGUUAUAGGGUCAGGACUGGUUGGGGUUAGGGUCUGUGUCAGCAUCAGGUUAGGGUUAGGAUCAUAGGGUGAGGGUUGGGUUAUAGGGUCAGGGUUAGGGUCAGGGCCAAGGUUAGGGUUAGGGUUACAGGGUCAGAGUUGGGGCCAGGGUUGGUUGGGGUUGGGGUCAGUGUCAGGGUUAGAGUUGGGGUUAGGGUUGGGGUUAUAGGGUCAGGGUCAGGGUUAGAGUUUGGGUUAUAGGGUUAGGGUCAGGGUCAAGGCUAGGAUUAGGAUUAUAGGAUCAGGGUUAGGAUUGGGGUUAUAGGGUGAGGGUCAAUGGUUAUGGUUAGGGUUAUAGGAUCAAGGUCAGGGUCAAGGUUAGAGUUAUGGGAUCAGGGUUAUAGGGUUAGAGUCAGGGUUAGGGUUUGGAUUAGGACUAGGAUUAGGGUUAGGGUUAUAGGAUCAAGGUCAGAGUUAUAGGGCUAGGGUCAGGAUAAGAAUCAUAGGGUCAGGGUUAGGGUUGGGGUUAGGAUUAUAGGGUCAGGGUCACAGGGUCAGGGUUGGCGCUAUAGGGUCAGGGCUACAGGAUCAGGGUUGGGGUUGUAAGGUCAGGGUUGGGGUCACAGGGUCGUAGUUGAGGUUAUAGGGUCAGGGUUGUAGGGUCAGGGUUGGGACCAUAGGAUCAGGGUUGGGCUUAUAGAGUCAGGGUUACAGGAUCAGGGUUGGGGUCAUAGGGCCAGGGUCAGGGUUAUAGGGUCAGGUUGGGGUUAUAGGGUCAGGGUUACAGGGUCUGGGUUGAGACCAUAGGGUCAGGGUUGGGGUUAUAGGGUCAAGGUUGGGGUCAUAGGGUCAGGGUUGGGAUUGUAGGAUCAGAGUUGGGGUUAUAGGGUCAGGUUUGGGACCAUAGGGUCAGGAUUGGGGUCAUAGAGUCAGGAUUACAGGAUCAGGGUUGGGGUUAUAGGGUCAGGGUUGGGGUUAUAGGGCCAUGGUUGUAGGGUCGGGGUUAUAGGGUCAGGGUUGGGGUUAUAGGGUCAGGGUUGGGGUUGGUGUUAUAGGGUCAGGGUUGUAGGGUUGGGGUCAGUGUCAGCGCAGUGUGGGUCCGCUGCCCAUAGCGGUGCCAAUGGGGUCACAUCGCCGCUCAGCCCUUACAGUGAGCAGAGCUGCGUUAAUUGUACGGCGUUAAUUGCCGUAUCUCUGUAAUUAGCGCUCAUAAAGAGGCAAUUCAAUCCCAUUAAGGAUUAUUGGCUCAUUAAGAGCCCUCUGUGCACACAGCAGUCCGGGAUGCGCACUGAGGGCACUGCGGGGCAAAUGGGGCCGGGAGGGAAAACCCCAUUUGGGUUUGGGGUGAAUGUGUUGGAAAGGAGAACCCCAUUUGGGUUUGGGGUGAAUGUGUUGGGAGGAGAAAACCCCAUUUGGGUUUGGGGUGAAUGUUCUGAGAGGAGAAAACCCCAUUUGGGUUUGGGGUGAAUGCAUUGGAAUGGCAAAACCUCAUUUGGAUUUGGGGUGAAUGCAUUGGGAUUUGAAAUCCCAUUUGGGUUUGGGGUGAAUGCAUUGGAAAUGGAAAUCCCAUUUGGGUUUGGGGUGAAUGCGUUGGAAAGGAAAACCCCAUUUGGAUUUGGGGUAACUGUGGGAAAUCCCAUUUGGGUUUGGGGUGAAUAGAUUGGAAUGGCAAAACCCGCUCUGGAUUUGGGGUGAGGGUGUUGGAAACAGAAAACCCCAUUUGGGUUUGGGGUGAAUGCACUGAGAGGAGAAAACCCCAUUUGGGUUUGGGGUGAAUGUUUUGGGAGGAG
This is a long non-coding RNA of Gallus gallus (chicken), 3496 nucleotides long. Lineage: Eukaryota; Metazoa; Chordata; Aves; Galliformes; Phasianidae. The record is from Ensembl.